Molecule: ribosomal RNA, 253 nt
Filed under: uncultured bacterium
Lineage: Bacteria
Description: partial 16S ribosomal RNA
Rfam family: Bacterial small subunit ribosomal RNA
Source: RNAcentral
GACAGAGGUGCCGAGCGUUAGGCGGAAUCACUGGGCUUAAAGCGUGUGUAGGCGGAUGCCUAAGUACCUUGUGAAAUCCCACGGCUCAACCGUGGAACUGCUUGGUAUACUGGGCGUCUUGAGCCACUUAGGGGCAACCGGAACAAACGGUGGAGCGGUGAAAUGCGUAGAUAUCGUUCGGAACGCCGAUGGUGAAAACAGGUUGCUGGGAGUGUGCUGACGCUGAGACACGAAAGCCAGGGGAGCAAACGGG